Molecule: ribosomal RNA, 540 nt
Filed under: uncultured bacterium
Lineage: Bacteria
Description: bacterial SSU rRNA
Rfam family: Bacterial small subunit ribosomal RNA
Source: RNAcentral
AGAUAAUAGAUACCCUGGUAGUCCACGCCGUAAACGAUGCAUACUAGUCGUGUGGGGUAUCGACCCCCUGCGUGACGAAAGCUAACGCGUUAAGUAUGCCGCCUGGGAAGUACGGCCGCAAGGCUAAAACUCAAAGGAAUUGACGGGGACCCGCACAAGCGGAGGAUGAUGUGGUUUAAUAUGACGCUACGCGUAGAACCUUACCCAGGCUUGACAUCCUUGGAAUCUCUCGGAAACGAGAGAGUGCCCUCGGGAGCCAAGUGACAGGUGCUGCAUGGCCGUCGUCAGCUCGUGUCGUGAGAUGUUGGGUUAAGUCCCGCAACGAGCGCAACCCCUGUCGUAUGUUGAAUUUUUCAUACGAGACUGCCCGGGCCAACCGGGAGGAAGGUGGGGUCGAAGUCAGGUCAGCAUGGCCCUUACGCCUGGGGCUACACACGUCAUACAAUGGCCGGUACAACGCGUUGCCAAGCCGCGAGGCGGAGCUAAUCGCACCAAAACCGGUCCCAGUUCGGAUUGUAGGCUGCAACUCGCCUGCAUGAA